AAUGCGUAGAGAUCUGGAGGAAUACCGGUGGCGAAGGCGGCCCCCUGGACAAAGACUGACGCUCAGGUGCGAAAGCGUGGGGAGCAAACAGGAUUAGAUACCCUGGUAGUCCACGCCGUAAACGAUGUCUACUUGGAGGUUGUGCCCUUGAGGCGUGGCUUCCGGAGCUAACGCGUUAAGUAGACCGCCUGGGGAGUACGGCCGCAAGGUUAAAACUCAAAUGAAUUGACGGGGGCCCGCACAAGCGGUGGAGCAUGUGGUUUAAUUCGAUGCAACGCGAAGAACCUUACCUGGUCUUGACAUCCACGGAAGUUUUCAGAGAUGAGAAUGUGCCUUCGGGAACCGUGAGACAGGUGCUGCAUGGCUGUCGUCAGCUCGUGUUGUGAAAUGUUGGGUUAAGUCCCGCAACGAGCGCAAC
Molecule: ribosomal RNA, 418 nt
Filed under: Salmonella enterica
Lineage: Bacteria; Pseudomonadati; Pseudomonadota; Gammaproteobacteria; Enterobacterales; Enterobacteriaceae
Also listed under: 1 other name
Description: bacterial SSU rRNA
Rfam family: Bacterial small subunit ribosomal RNA
Source: RNAcentral